This 403-nucleotide ribosomal RNA is filed under the name uncultured Alphaproteobacteria bacterium. RNAcentral describes it as "bacterial SSU rRNA". It matches the Rfam family "Bacterial small subunit ribosomal RNA", at positions 9 to 430 of the family's 1533-position model. The record is from RNAcentral. Lineage: Bacteria; Pseudomonadati; Pseudomonadota; Alphaproteobacteria.
GAGUUUGAUCAUGGCUCAGAACGAACGCUGGCGGCAGGCCUAACACAUGCAAGUCGAACGAACUGAGACCUUCGGGUCUCUAUGUUAGUGGCGCACGGGUGAGUAACGCGUGGGAACGUACCCUUUAGUACGGAAUAACGCAGGGAAACUUGCGCUAAUACCGUAUACGCCCUUCGGGGAAAGAUUAUCGCUAAAGGAUCGGCCCGCGUCUGAUUAGGUAGUUGGUGAGGUAACGGCUCACCAAGCCGACGAUCAGUAGCUGGUCUGAGAGGAUGAUCAGCCACACUGGGACUGAGACACGGCCCAGACUCCUACGGGAGGCAGCAGUGGGGAAUAUUGGACAAUGGGCGAAAGCCUGAUCCAGCCAUGCCGCGUGAGUGAAGAAGGCCUUCGGGUUGUAAAG